UACGUAGGGAGCAAGCGUUGUCCGGAAUCAUUGGGCGUAAAGAGCGCGUAGGCGGCCCAGUAAGUCCGUUCUGAAAGUCGGAGGCUCAACCUCCGAAAGCGGAUGGAUACUGCUGGGCUAGAGUCCGGAAGAGGCGAGUGGAAUUCCUGGUGUAGCGGUGGAAUGCGCAGAUAUCAGGAGGAACACCAACGGCGAAGGCAGCUCGCUGGGACGGUACUGACGCUGAGGCGCGAAAGCGUGGGGAGCGAACAGG
RNAcentral lists this ribosomal RNA (253 nucleotides) under uncultured bacterium. RNAcentral's name for it is "partial 16S ribosomal RNA". It matches the Rfam family "Bacterial small subunit ribosomal RNA", at positions 524 to 776 of the family's 1533-position model. The record is from RNAcentral.